This 253-nucleotide ribosomal RNA is filed under the name uncultured bacterium. RNAcentral's name for it is "partial 16S ribosomal RNA". It matches the Rfam family "Bacterial small subunit ribosomal RNA", at positions 524 to 776 of the family's 1533-position model. The record is from RNAcentral.
UACGUAGGGUGCAGGCGUUAAUCGGAAUUACUGGGCGUAAAGCGUGCGCAGGCGGUCUUUUAAGCCAGAUGUGAAAUCCCCGGGCUUAACCUGGGAACUGCGUUUGAAACUGAAAGGCUAGAGUGUGGCAGAGGGGGGUGGAAUUCCACGUGUAGCAGUGAAAUGCGUAGAGAUGUGGAGGAACACCGAUGGCGAAGGCAGCCCCCUGGGCUAACACUGACGCUCAUGCACGAAAGCGUGGGGAGCAAACAGG